AUCUCUGCGUUCUCUGACUGGAGAAGGAUGCUUCCCUUUGCUCCCCAGCGGACCUCUGGGGCCUUCUUCGGGCUCCAAGCACUCUGGGCAGGAGGACCGUUGUCCGGCCGACGUGGAAAGGCUCCUUGAACAACAAAGUCUUGUCUCAUCCCAAAGGGACACAGUGCUCCUGCUGAGAAACCCUGCUGUGCCUGGGGAAGAGAGCCUGUUUCACACUGGAUGGAUUUUCCGGAAGCGUCCUCUCAUCAUUUCAAGAGGAGUUAGCAGGCAAGGGAAAGAAUGGAAGACGCCGGGUAUCAUGCCCAGUUACAUCACCGUUCCUUCCCGUCUCCCGUCAAGGAAAGUUAGCUGUCACUGCAGUGGGAGCGUGGAUUAAUGUCUGACUUACUGCAGCCUGACAUCCUCAUCUAUCUUCAGCCGUCCUGCGCGCACGAGGCAUGCUGAAUGGAAGAUGGCUUAGAAAUGAUGCGACCCACUCAGGCCACAAAGAACUUCUUAUCCACACAGCAUUUGGCCAAAGCCCCGGGGCUCUUUUGGAUUCAAGAUGGGGGGAAAAAUUAAAUAAACUGGAGAAUGAUGGAGUGGAAGGCAUGAAAAUUACAGCCUGCAUUUGAUUUUGUGAGCCUUCCUUGGCGUUUCCGUUUGGACAUGAAGUAAUGUUUCCUGGAGUCCUGUUGACAUUUGCCACCGCACCCUUUGCCAUGGCUUAAAGAGGAAAAGUAAUUGACAAGAAUAAAACUUAGAUCUGGAAAGGAAUUCAUUUUUUAAAAUAUUUUUUUUCCAUCUUCUUCUGUAUUUAUUUGUUGUUUUCCUUUCUAGCUGGGAAAGUAUAUGAUUGAUUUGCAUUAGCACUGACUCCAUGCCCUGGGAAGAGGGAACUGAUGAGCAGAAACUGCUCCAUACAACUGUCUCUGCAUGAGCGGAGAGCUGUCAUGUGUGGGGAAGGCGAGAUCCACCCCCAGCACCUCUAAGGUUCAGAAGCGGGACAGAAGCAGAAGUUACAGGAAGACAGAAUUUACCUUUGUGUGAGGCAGUGCUCUGUAGCCCUGAGGCUACUCCAAGAAGGCCUUUCCUGGGUCUGGAGAGACUGGGUUCAGGGGAAGAAUUCCAGCCCAGGCAGCCUGACCCUCUGCUCGGCUUUGGCAGAACAGACACUGCGAUCGGUAGGGGGUUAUGGUGUUUACUUGUGCAGGGUGAUUCUUCAGCCUAGGAGUCCAUGGUUAUAAGCAGUUUGGUUUCACCGUUGUUGCUUUUCUCAAAAUCGGAACAUCUCUCUUUGAGUCAAUAGACAAUAUCAAAUUAAAUGUUUGCUGUAUUAUUCUUGGAAUGAAUGUUAGUAUUAAAAUAUACAAAGGGAGUUCCUGCUUCGCUGCAACAAGAUUGGUAGCAUCCCUGGAGCGCUGGGACAUGGAUUCAAUCCCCAGUGAGGCACAGUGGAUUAGGGAUCUGUCACUGCCACAGCUGGCGUAGGUUGCAGCUGCAGUGUAUGUUGCAACUGUGGCUGGGAGCUGAUCUCUGGCCUUGGAACUCCAUGUGCCGUGGGGCAACCAAAAAAGAAAAAAUGAAAAUAAAAUAAACAACAAAUACUAUCGAUGUAAAAAGGCUGAGGUAGCCAAGACUCAAAAGAAAAAAAAAGCAGUAUACUGAAGUCUUCUAGAAGUAACUCGAAUUAAUUGGAGAAGAAUAAAGUAUAUUUUUCUCACGCUGUUG
RNAcentral lists this long non-coding RNA (1710 nucleotides) under Sus scrofa (pig). Its description in RNAcentral is "lncRNA (ENSSSCG00035040083.1)". Lineage: Eukaryota; Metazoa; Chordata; Mammalia; Artiodactyla; Suidae. The record is from RNAcentral.